UCCCAUGGUUCUUUCUCUCUCACCACGUCGUUCUCUCCCACUGGCUCAGAUCUAGAAACAUUUCGCCGCUGUGGAGAAAAUGUUCGUUUAGGUUUCUGAUUUUUCAUUGGGAAUGUUUUCCCUGAUUAGGUCAAAAUCGUUUGGCCAUGGGACACGCAGGUUUCAUUGUUAGCCUUUCAUUGGGGAUGUUUUCCCUGAUUUUGGUGGUUGAUUUCUUACUAGGGAAGAUGAAUAAGUGCUCCCUGAUUUUGAUAAUUACAACAAUCACAGGGAAGAUGAAUAAGUGGUCCCUGAUUUUGAUGUUUACAACAAUCACAGGUUUACGUAAUGGCUACCACAGUGCUUCCCACCGCUGCCUCUGACGUUCAGACUCCGGGAAUCCUAACACUGAAAGACUUUCGGGAAAAAAAUGGAAUCGUACCAUGGAUGGCCCGAGUUCGCAUUGUCGGAUGUGGCAUGAAUCAGACUUCAUGAAAACCAAUGAUGUACCAGCCUUGAUUUGCUCCUGCUGGAUGACACCGGUGACCUGCUGCACGCAAUUGUUCAGAAGAAAUUCAUCUGGAAAUUUGAACCCCUGGUAGAAGAGGGUAUGCUGUUGUGUCUUAACAAUUUGACAUUUGCCCCAGAAAAAAAAAUGCCCCGCCCCGCCCAGAAUGACUACCACGCCUACUUUAACUGGAAUACUGAUAUUACACCACUUGAAGCCUCCAGUGCGUCGAUUCCUCGAGACAAGUUCAAUUUCACUGAACUUGAGACCUUGCAGCUGCUAACACCAACACCAACACUUACCUUACUGAUGUUGUCGGUGUGCUGACCAGCCACACAAACUUGCAGCAGUUUAAGCGAAAUUCUGGCAAUGCAAGUUUCAUGCGUGAGCUAACACUGGAAAACUUAAGUGGUAUGAAGAUUAAGGUCACACUAUGGGGUGAUUCCACUUCUGAGCUUACCAGGAACCUUGAAGCGCAUGAACUUAAUCCGUGGCCUGUUGUAGCUGUUGUUGCUGGUGUCUAUGUCAAGCAAUAUCUUGGUACACAAAUCUUGCAGAUUAAUUUUUAUGUUAGCUUUAUGUGAUUAUGGACUAGCUAUUAUUUUGUCGCCAUUACUCUCCCUUUAUAGGUUUCUGAUGUAUUCUUGCUGCUGCAAAUUCAAAUGCCAAGUUUAUCUAACUAGACAUACUACAAAGUAGGUGCAAUAUUAGUUUCGUCCAAAGCUUUAUGUUGCAUAUUUUUUUAAUAAAUGUCUCUAUAUUGGUCUCUUCA
This is a long non-coding RNA of Papaver somniferum (opium poppy), 1259 nucleotides long. RefSeq lists it as uncharacterized. The record is from RefSeq and is a predicted model, not a curated record. Lineage: Eukaryota; Viridiplantae; Streptophyta; Magnoliopsida; Ranunculales; Papaveraceae. The transcript has 6 exons.